CAGCGAAACUGCGAAUGGCUCAUUAUAUAAGUUAUCGUUUAUUUGAUAGUACCUUACUACUUGGAUAACCGUGGUAAUUCUAGAGCUAAUACAUGCUAAAAAUCCCGACUUCGGAAGGGAUGUAUUUAUUAGAUUAAAAACCAAUGCCCUCUGGGCUCUCUGGUGAUUCAUGAUAACUUCUCGAAUCGCAUGGCCUUGCGCCGGCGAUGGUUCAUUCAAAUUUCUUCCCUAUCAACUUUCGAUGUUUGGGUAGUGGCCAAACAUGGUUACAACGGGUAACGGAGGGUUAGGGCUCGACCCCGGAGAAGGAGCCUGAGAAACGGCUACUACAUCCAAGGAAGGCAGCAGGCGCGCAAAUUACCCAAUCCCGAUUCGGGGAGGUAGUGACAAUAAAUACUGAUACAGGGCUCUUUUGGGUCUUGUAAUUGGAAUGAGUACAAUUUAAAUCCCUUAACGAGGAACAAUUGGAGGGCAAGUCUGGUGCCAGCAGCCGCGGUAAUUCCAGCUCCAAUAGCGUAUAUUAAAGUUGUUGUGGUUAAAAAGCUCGUAGUUGAACCUUGGGCCUGGCUGGCCGGUCCGCCUCACCGCGUGUACUGGUCCGGCCGGGUCUUUCCCUCUGUGGAACCCCAUGCCCUUCACUGGGUGUGGCGGGGAAACAGGACUUUUACUUUGAAAAAAUUAGAGUGCUCCAGGCAGGCCUAUGCUCGAAUACAUUAGCAUGGAAUAAUAAAAUAGGACGCGCGGUUCUAUUUUGUUGGUUUCUAGGACCGCCGUAAUGAUUAAUAGGGACAGUCGGGGGCAUCAGUAUUCAAUUGUCAGAGGUGAAAUUCUUGGAUUUAUUGAAGACUAACUACUGCGAAAGCAUUUGCCAAGGAUGUUUUCAUUAAUCAGGAACGAAAGUUAGGGGAUCGAAGACGAUCAGAUACCGUCGUAGUCUUAACCAUAAACUAUGCCGACUAGGGAUCGGACGAUGUUAUUUUUUGACUCGUUCGGCACCUUACGAGAAAUCAAAGUGCUUGGGCUCCAGGGGGAGUAUGGUCGCAAGGCUGAAACUUAAAGAAAUUGACGGAAGGGCACCACCAGGGGUGGAGCCUGCGGCUUAAUUUGACUCAACACGGGGAAACUCACCAGGUCCAGACACAAUGAGGAUUGACAGAUUGAGAGCUCUUUCUUGAUUUUGUGGGUGGUGGUGCAUGGCCGUUCUUAGUUGGUGGAGUGAUUUGUCUGCUUAAUUGCGAUAACGAACGAGACCUUAACCUGCUAAAUAGCCAGUAUUGCUUUGGCAGUACGCCGGCUCUAG
RNAcentral lists this ribosomal RNA (1300 nucleotides) under Keithomyces cf. carneus. Its description in RNAcentral is "SSU rRNA". It matches the Rfam family "Eukaryotic small subunit ribosomal RNA", at positions 79 to 1390 of the family's 1831-position model. Lineage: Eukaryota; Fungi; Ascomycota; Sordariomycetes; Hypocreales; Clavicipitaceae. The record is from RNAcentral.